AUUCUGCCCAAGCGGGGAAGGAUGAGAAGCUUCGACCAAGGUUCGACUCGAGCGCCAGCGAGAGAGCGUUGCCGCAGGCAACGACCCGAAGGGCGAAGCGCGCAGCG
RNAcentral lists this small RNA (107 nucleotides) under Escherichia coli. Its description in RNAcentral is "partial RtT sRNA". It matches the Rfam family "RtT RNA", at positions 1 to 105 of the family's 130-position model. From Rfam's summary of the family: This family represents a bacterial cis-regulatory element known as RtT RNA. The record is from RNAcentral. Lineage: Bacteria; Pseudomonadati; Pseudomonadota; Gammaproteobacteria; Enterobacterales; Enterobacteriaceae.